GGAUUGUGGCUCAGCGGUAGAGCACUUGCCUAGCUCGUACAAGGCCCUGGGUUUGAUCCUCAGCACCA
This 68-nucleotide transfer RNA is filed under the name Marmota monax (woodchuck). Its description in RNAcentral is "tRNA.Ala". The record is from RNAcentral. Lineage: Eukaryota; Metazoa; Chordata; Mammalia; Rodentia; Sciuridae.